Larimichthys crocea (large yellow croaker) is the source of this 675-nucleotide long non-coding RNA. RefSeq lists it as uncharacterized. The transcript has 3 exons. The record is from RefSeq and is a predicted model, not a curated record. NCBI's taxonomy places the organism in Eukaryota, Metazoa, Chordata, Actinopteri, Sciaenidae.
ACCGUCUUUGCCGUCUGGUAGGUUGGUAGGUGGUCUACCGCUGACCUCAGUCUUAAGGUUUCCCCUCCACGUGACCUCUGCUGGUGCCUUUGACCCCGCCGUGACAUCCCAGGGGUCACCAGGGGAAGGAAACAGAUGUCACAGGCUUUUUUAUAUGAGGAUCUUCAUGUACCGAGACCCUCAGCUCCCGUUUAACAUCGGCUGUUUGUUUUCAGAAGCUUGUCUGCUUCCGAGCCGUUAAGACUUCAGCUCGGGGAAACUGGUGUGUUUGUGAAGGAAGCACAAAGGAUGGAAACCAACGGCACACGAACACCAACGGCAUCUCAAAAUGUUUUUCAGGGUGAAAACCAACCAACGAGGCGUCUUCAUGAAGUCGAGAAAACAGGAAAGAGGAACGAGAGUUUCCGGUGUUUCUGCCCCUGCAGUCGGCUUCACUUCAGUCCUCGUGCAUGUGCUCCUGUAAAACCAGAGCAGCACUACUGACUGAAACAUCAAGCACAUGUCAGAGAAAAUCUGAAUUCCCUCUCUUAAUCUCCACUGAGACGAGCCUUACGUAAUCUCCAGUGAUCUUCUCACUGCAGUCAGGCUGUGUCACUGUACUCUGGCCUGUAGGUGGCGCCACAGGUCUGCUCCUCAGCCUGUUCAGUCUCUGAAUGACAUGACGGCACUCUGCUG